Non-coding RNA from Schizosaccharomyces pombe (fission yeast), 5158 nucleotides. Lineage: Eukaryota; Fungi; Ascomycota; Schizosaccharomycetes; Schizosaccharomycetales; Schizosaccharomycetaceae. The record is from the annotation of a GenBank genome assembly.
GGUUAAUUAAUUUCGUACGGUUAAAAUAAUUUGUUUAAGUCAUGCAUGCUACAUGAUAUCCUGUUUAUCAACAAUCAAAUGAGCGACUUAUCUCACUCCAUUGCGUGCAUUUGGUUUGACUUCUUUAACAAACACGCAGUUGCACUUUUCAAACGAUCUACUUGAAAAAGGUAAUAAAACACAUGCUAUAAAGAUUUACGAUGCCACAAAUAUUAAACCAUUUACCAUACCUCAAUUUAGCCCGUUAACCAGUGAAUAAACAAAUACCACCUUACCCGUUUACACAAAAUGAGGAACAUCAGAAGCACUUACAAAUUUUUUUAUGAAGUAUCUUUAUCGAAUGUACAUCUUCCCUCGUACAAAAUUUACAGUCUCAUGUCUACAAAUAUACCACGUCGAUAAUGCAUUGCAUUAAUCAAGAGACAAAAAGUAACUUAUAUUAUUGGGAGUUUUUAAAACCCCGGAAAACAUCAAAAUUCCAGAAAAUUCGUAAUCUAAUUUAUGUAUUAGAACCAUUCUGAGCCUGCUCACUAGAAUGGAAAACCAAGGUUGAAUUUAAGACACAAUUAUGUAUGUCGACAAAUGAAAAGAAUAUUGAAUAAAAACAUUAAAAGAAACAAUAAAAUGUAGGAUAUUAAACAUGGAUGGGAUUUAACAAAUCCAUUUUUGCAACAGUAAAUUAGGCUGAGCACAUUUCGCAAGCCUCAGGGUUCUUGAUGGAGCAUGCGAGCACUUUUUCAUUAUAAAUGUCAAUCUCUUCUUUAGUGGGCUCUGCAGAAAUUUCAGCCUUUCCAUUCUUUAUAACUGGCUUCUUAUUCUCUUCAUUAGAUUCUUCAUUACGAGCGCGCAAGGCCACAGGGUCGACCGUAAAUUUGAUAGCAGCAGAAGCAGCCAUAGUACGAAGAUAGUACAUUCCAGUCUUAAGACCCUUCUUCCAGCCAUAAAAGUGCAUACUAGUAAUUUUUCCGUAGGAAGGAUCCUUCAAGUGAAUGUUCAAACUUUGGGAUUGAUCAAUGAAUGGGCCACGGUCGGCAGCAUAGUCAAUAACAGUCUUUUGACUAAUCUCCCAUACGGUUUUGUAAAGAUCCUUAAGGUCUUGAGGAAUUUCAGGAAUCGCUUGGAUGGAUCCAUCAAGCAUAACAAGUUUGUUCUUCAUGUCCUCAUUCCACAAAUCACGCUCAACGAGAUCCUUCAACAGCCAUGGAUUGACAAUUUGGAAUUCACCAGAAAGAACACGGCGUUGGUACAUGUUAGAAGUAUAUGGCUCAAAACACUCAUUGAAACCAAGGAUUUGAGAUGUUGAAGCAGUAGGCAUUGGUGCUACUAACAAAGAAUUACGAAUUCCGUGUUUAGCAAUCUUUUCCUUCAACUCGGCCCAAUCCCAAAGAUCGGUGGGAUUAACGUUCCACAUGUCAUACUGUAAAAUACCCUGGGAUGCAGGAGAUCCUUCAUAACUCUCAUAUGUACCCUCUACCUGGGCAAUCUCGCAAGAGGCCUCAAGGGCUGCGUGGUAAAUUGUUUCGAAGAUUUGGAUGUUUAGCUUCUUGGCACCUGCAGAUUCGAAUGGUAAACGAAGAGCGAAGAAAGCAUCGGCAAGACCUUGAACACCCAAACCAACGGGACGAUGGCGCAUAUUGCUACGGCGAGCUUCAGGAACAGGAUAAUAGUUAACGUCGAUAAUCUUGUUGAGGUUACGAGUAACGACCUUCACGACAUCGUGAAGCUUUUGGAAAUUGUACUUUCCGUCUUUAAUAAAUGUGGGCAAAGCAACUGAAGCAAGGUUACAAACAGCAACUUCGUCAGGAGAAGAGUAUUCAACAAUCUCAGUACACAGGUUUGAGCAGCGAAUAGUACCAACAUUCUUCUGAUUGGACUUACGGUUGCAUGAAUCCUUAUACAACAUGAAAGGAUUACCAGUUUCAACUUGUGAUUGAAGAAUGGCGUACCAAACUUUUUGAGCAGGUAAUGAACGACGACCACGGUUCUCCUUCUCAUACUUUUCGUAGAGGGCAACAAACUCGUCACCCCAAACAUCUGCCAAACCUGGAGCCUCAUUGGGGCAGAAGAAGGUCCAUUGCUCGUUACGUUCAACACGUUGCAUAAACAAGUCAGGAAUCCACAAGGCAUAGAACAUUUCGCGUGCGCGGAAAUCCUCGUUGCCAUGAGUCUUUCGAAGUUCUAAAAAGUCCAUAACAUCGGCAUGCCAAGGCUCCAAAUAGGCUGCAAAGGCACCAGGACGCUUAUUACCUCCUUGGUCAACAUAACGAGCUGUGUUGUUGUAAACACGAAUCAUGGGGACAAUUCCGUUGGAAGUACCAUUAGUUCCAGCAAUAUACGAACCGGUUGCUCUAAUGUUGUGAAUAUUAAUACCAAUACCGCCAGCGGUCUUGGAGAUCAUAGCACACAUCUUGAGUGUGUCGUAGAUUCCUUCAAUAGAGUCGUCUUUCAUCGUAACGAGGAAACAAGAAGAGAGUUGGGGACGAGGAGUACCGGCAUUGAAAAGAGUUGGUGAAGCAUGGGUAAAGUAGCGUUGAGACAUCAAAUUGUAUGUUUCAAUAGCAGCUUCAAUGUCCUCACCGUGGAUACCAACGGCGACACGCAUAAUCAUAUGCUGAGGGCGCUCAGCAACUUUGCCGUCGAUACGCAAUAAAUAAGAACGCUCUAAAGUCUUGAAGCCAAAGAAAUUGUAAGUGAAAUCACGAUCGUAUAUGAUAGCACUAUCUAAUUCGUCCUUGUGUUUCAUUACGAUAUCGUAGAUUUUGUCAGAGAUCAUGGGGGCAGGCUUGUCUGUUUUGGGAUUUACAUAGUCAUGAAGCUGUUGAACGACAGUUGAAAACACCUUCUCGGUUUGCUUAUGCAAGUUGGAAACAGCAAUUCUAGCAGCCAAAAUAGCAUAAUCAGGAUGCUUUGUAGUCAUAGUCGCGGCAGUUUCAGCAGCUAAAUUAUCCAAUUCAAUAGUGGUAACACCGGGAUACACACCAGAAAUGACUUUUUGAGUGAUUUCGACGGGAUCAACAUGAUCGGAAUCAAGGCCAUAACAAAGCCUCGAAACACGAGCAGUGAUUUUGUCAAAGGCCACUUUCUCUUGACGUCCGUCUAUACAGUUAGUACAUUAUUGCUUUUCGAUUCAAUGUCAACAGUCAGUCAAUUUUGAAUACAACGCCACCAGCAACGAAUCUGUCAGCAAUCAACCGAACACUUGGAAGUAGAGCAAACGGCUAAAAGAACAUUUGCUUAAACAUCUCUGCACACAACAAACAGUGAAUACUGAAUGACACGCUUAAACAAAUAGAAAAAUCUCAGUUUCUUUAAACAUUUACUCCCCAGUAAAAUCACGACAUUUUUCGAAACGGCAACGUUGUAACAAAAUUUCUACUAAUCUUCUAACUGUAUUUUAUUUCCUGUUUCAUACCUCUUUUGUAUACAAACAUCGUGUUUGUUCUAGUUUGUAAGGUGGUAAAUACCGGGAAUAUUUAUAGUAAAUGAAAAACGCGUUCAGACGCGUCACGCUAAUAUAACGUGAUGCCGCGUCGCGUCAUCCGAACUUUAAGUCAUGUUGAUCAAUGUAAAUAAAUAAAGCUAAGAGUGGAAACCGGAUCAUUUUUGUAGCUCUACUAUAUCUAAAAGACGUUAAUUAAGACUUGCUAAAUAGAUUUAUCUUUUUCACUUCUGAACAUCAAAGUUCCGCUAAAAUAAGUCCGACUUUUAAAAAUUAAAAAAAUAUUUUUUUAAAAAAACGCGAUUAAACAUGUUGAAGUGGUCUGACCUGAUACAAUACAUUCAACUGUUACAUUUAUCUUUUAUUAAACAUAAAAAAAGUGUUUAUAAAUACUCUGUUUACGACUGAAUGUAAUAAAUUAAAUAUUUAUUUACGCGUCUCAAUUGCAACGCGACGCGACUGUUUACAUAAAUUAAACACGCGGUCCAACCCGACUACCAACCUGCUCUAUGAGAUUGAACUACUAAUUUCUCUAAUAUAUCUAGAUAUCAAUUUCCCCUUGUUCUUUAUAUUACUUUUUGAUGUUGUCAAUUACCUGUUGGAGAAGAUCAUAACAUACAAUUGAUAAAGUAUUGUUUCCUUGAUUUAUAAAUUGUAAAGCUAAGUUGAGUUAGCUUUUUUGUUAAGACCUCUCAACUUUUAGAUUUAAGAUUUUGAUUCCCAUUUCUGUUGUAAUAUGUAACCUUACUAAUGCUUUACAUUAAAGCAUGAAGAUUUCGACUCUGCAUUUUACUUAUAAGCACUAUAAAAGGUACACAUAGAGAUAGACAAACAGCUUUUAGUAGCUACAAAAACUUUGUUCUUUUCCCUUUAAUUCACUAUUUGCUCCCUCGCAAUUAUCCUUUUUUUUAGGUAAAGUCAACAAUGCUUAUAUCUUCAUCUGAUAAUCUUGCCUGUAGACAGAGUGAAAAUCAAAUGGUAAUACAAAUGCAUAGAUAGAAUAACAACGGUCACCUUCAAAACAUGAAAUUGCAAACAUUGGUAUGCUUGACGUAAAGAGAAUGAGAUAUAAACAGUGUGCAAAUUUCCGCAAAAUACAAAAUGUUUAAACCAUCAACUACGGCUAUCUGCUACUUCGACUAUCAACGUGUAUAAAAAUACCAAGCGCCUGUAUACCAGCAAGGUUAUCAACAGAGAUAAUGUCGCUUCAAUUUUCUACAAUAAUUCUAGUGCAAAAUUGGAGACCCAGCUAAAGUUCCACGAUAAUAAGCAAUUACGUGCUGUGAGAAAGCUUAUAAAAUAUUCGGGUUUUGAUCGAGUUUCAAUCGAGGUGUAUAUUCUUUAAAUUACCGAUUUAUAAAAAUUUACCAAGUCCUUUGACUAGGUAGAAAGGAUAAUAAUGAUGGCAAUCCUUAACAAAAGAAACAAGGUAUUAUAGGAAAAAUAAAACCAUGCAAUAACAAGGCAAUAAGGGAAAUUUUCUUCAAACUAAUAGCGAAGAGUAUAGCAAAGUAAGCAAAGACUGAAAACAAGACGCAUACUCCUUGCAGGUGCCUAUACGUUGCAGAACAGUGAGGGGAAAUGGUAGAACAGCUAUAUGAAAUGCGCUUAAAUCAUUGCCAAGCUGACUAAAUGGCACGACUUGAGGUAAGUAAAAAGGAAAGAAUGAGAGGAUAUAAUGACUAUGUAACAUGAUAGGCCACACAAUGCAAAACUCCC